UGCAGGCUUAACACAUGCAAGUCGAGGGGAAACGACAUCGAAAGCUUGCUUUUGAUGGGCGUCGACCGGCGCACGGGUGAGUAACGCGUAUCCAACCUGCCCACCACUUGGGGAUAACCUUGCGAAAGUAAGACUAAUACCCAAUGACGUCUCUAGAAGACAUCUGAAGGAGAUUAAAGAUUUAUCGGUGAUGGAUGGGGAUGCGUCUGAUUAGCUUGUUGGCGGGGUAACGGCCCACCAAGGCGACGAUCAGUAGGGGUUCUGAGAGGAAGGUCCCCCACAUUGGAACUGAGACACGGUCCAAACUCCUACGGGAGGCAGCAGUGAGGAAUAUUGGUCAAUGGACGAGAGUCUGAACCAGCCAAGUAGCGUGCAGGAUGACGGCCCUAUGGGUUGUAAACUGCUUUUAUAAGGGAAUAAAGUGAGUCUCGUGAGACUUUUUGCAUGUACCUUAUGAAUAAGGACCGGCUAAUUCCGUGCCAGCAGCCGCAGUAAUACGGAAGGUCCGGGCGUUAUCCGGAUUUAUUGGGUUUAAAGGGAGCGUAGGCCGGAGAUUAAGCGUGUUGUGAAAUGUAGACGCUCAACGUCUGCACUGCAGCGCGAACUGGUUUCCUUGAGUACGCACAAAGUGGGCGGAAUUCGUGGUGUAGCGGUGAAAUGCUUAGAUAUCACGAAGAACUCCGAUUGCGAAGGCAGCUCACUGGAGCGCAACUGACGCUGAAGCUCGAAAGUGCGGGUAUCGAACAGGAUUAGAUACCCUGGUAGUCCGCACGGUAAACGAUGGAUGCCCGCUGUUGGUCUGAAUAGGUCAGCGGCC
RNAcentral lists this ribosomal RNA (817 nucleotides) under uncultured bacterium. RNAcentral's name for it is "bacterial SSU rRNA". It matches the Rfam family "Bacterial small subunit ribosomal RNA", at positions 41 to 848 of the family's 1533-position model. The record is from RNAcentral.